GUUGGGUUUGUUACGGGUGGUUGGCUCUUUGCUUGUGCAACAACUUCCAUYUGACUUACCUUUUCAGUUUAUUGUCAAAUGCUUYUAAAGCAUUGGAUUAUUCAUGGGUUUCUUGUGUUGCCUACCUAUUUGAUGGAAUUGUCUAAUGACUUGUAAUUGGAUUUCAUGUUACAUCUUAAAUGUGGUGUGAGAUGAACCUUUAAGCAUUCUUUGUGAACCACAUCUUUAAUGCUUAUGUAUUAUUUGGUGUGGUUCAUUUUGAGUUGCUUGGUCUCUUGGAUAUGGAACUUGAUGUGGGCAUGGGCCUUUAUGAGCCCUUUUGUUGUCCUGUUUAAGCGUUCUUGCUUCUCUAAUACGAUUGUCUAUCACGUAUGGUACGUCUUCAGCGUGGUAGGCUAUGUCGGAGAUGAAUGCUACCUGGUUGAUCCU
This 429-nucleotide unclassified non-coding RNA is filed under the name Arrowsmithia deflexa. RNAcentral describes it as "Macowania deflexa partial contains external transcribed spacer and 18S ribosomal RNA". The record is from RNAcentral. Lineage: Eukaryota; Viridiplantae; Streptophyta; Magnoliopsida; Asterales; Asteraceae.